UUGAAAUAAACCUGAUGGGUUGUUGCUGGUUCUCUAGGGAGCAUGUGCACGCCUUGUCAUCUUUAUAUCUCCACCUGUGCACUUUUGUAGACCUUUCAGGUCUAUGUUUUUUCAUUUACCCCAAUGUAUGUUAAUAGAAUGUUGUGCCUAUAUAAUAUAUA
RNAcentral lists this unclassified non-coding RNA (161 nucleotides) under uncultured Cortinarius. RNAcentral describes it as "sequence contains ITS1". The record is from RNAcentral. Lineage: Eukaryota; Fungi; Basidiomycota; Agaricomycetes; Agaricales; Cortinariaceae.